CCCAAUGUUCCUGUUCUUGAGGUGGACGGCAAGAGCAUCAGCCAGUCGGUAGCUAUCAUGGAGUACUUGGAAGAAACCUAUCCCCAACCCAGACUUCUGCCUGCAGAGCCCUACCUAAGAGCCAAGACGAGGGAAAUCACGGAGCUUCUCGUUUCCGGGGUGCAACC
Molecule: long non-coding RNA, 167 nt
Organism: Ixodes scapularis (black-legged tick)
Lineage: Eukaryota; Metazoa; Arthropoda; Arachnida; Ixodida; Ixodidae
Exons: 3
Source: RefSeq, a predicted model, not a curated record